Oncorhynchus tshawytscha (Chinook salmon) is the source of this 635-nucleotide long non-coding RNA. NCBI's taxonomy places the organism in Eukaryota, Metazoa, Chordata, Actinopteri, Salmoniformes, Salmonidae. The record is from Ensembl.
UGGAGAAAAGAGGGGACAUUAUGAAAGGAGAGAGGUAAAACAGAGUAUGGAGAAAAGAGGGGACAUUAUGAAAGGAGAGAGGUAAAGAGAGUAUGGAGAAAAGAGGGGACAUUAUGAAAGGAGAGAGGUAAAGAGAGUAUGGAGAAAAGAGGGGACAUUAUGAAAGGAGAGAGGUAAAAGAGAGUAUGGAGAAAAGAGGGGACAUUAUGAAAGGAGAGAGGUAAAACAGAGUUUGGAGAAAAGAGGGGACAUGAAAGGAGAGAGGUAAAGAGAGUAUGGAGAAAAGAGGGGACAUUAUGAAAGGAGAGAGGUAAAACAGAGUAUGGAGAAAAGAGGGGACAUUAUGAAAGUAGAGAGGUAAAGAGAGUAUGGAGAAAAGAGGGGACAUUAUGAAAGGAGAGAGGUAAAAGAGAGUAUGGAGAAAAGAGGGGACAUUAUGAAAGGAGAGAGGUAAAGAGAGUAUGGAGACAAGAGGGGACAUUAUGAAAGGAGAGAGGUAAAAGAGAGUAUGGAGAAAAGAGGGGACAUUAUGAAAGGAGAGAGGUAAAGAGAGUAUGGAGAAAAGAGGGGACAUUAUGAAAGGAGAGAGGUAAAGAGAGUAUGGAGAAAAGAGGGGACAUUAUGAAAGGAGAGAG